GACGAACGCUGGCGGCGUGCUUAACACAUGCAAGUCGAACGGAAAGGCCCUGCUUUUGUGGGGUGCUCGAGUGGCGAACGGGUGAGUAACACGUGAGUAACCUGCCCUUGACUUUGGGAUAACUUCAGGAAACUGGGGCUAAUACCGGAUAGGUGCUCCUGCUGCAUGGUGGGGGUUGGAUAGUUUCGGCGGUUGGGGAUGUACUCGCGGCUUAUCAGCUUGUUGGUGGGGUAGUGGCUUACCAAGGAUUUGACGGGUAGCCGGCCUGAGAGGGUGAACGGCGAAAUUGGGACUGAGAAAAGGCAAAGACGGCAACGGGAGGAAGCAGUGGAGAAUAUUGAAAAAUGGGAGGAAGCGUGAGGAAGAAACGCAGCGUGCGGGAUGAAGGCCUUAGGGUUGUAAACAGAUUUAGCAUGUGACGAAGAGAGAGUGACGGUAAUGGGUAAAGAAGCACCGGCUAACUACGUG
RNAcentral lists this ribosomal RNA (468 nucleotides) under uncultured bacterium. RNAcentral describes it as "partial 16S ribosomal RNA". It matches the Rfam family "Bacterial small subunit ribosomal RNA", at positions 28 to 507 of the family's 1533-position model. The record is from RNAcentral.